UAUGAACAGGGUAUCUAUCAGAAAGGUGUUCUUAGUUCAAGCUUUUGUGAAUCUGAACAAGAAUAAGUAAAAGUACUAGAAGGAAAUUAGUCAAACAUGUUUGAGCAUUUUGGUCAUAUUACUAAUUUUCGUCAAAAGCUUAUAGUAAUGUCGGUUGAUGUAAUCAUGUGUUAGUCUAUGCUUGUUCAUAACAUGAAGUUUCCUUUUUCUAUUCAAUGUUGGUUUUGGCUCAUUCUAAAGCUACAUCUUUAUCAGAGAAAUAUCUAACUCUUAUAAAUUUCAAAUACCAAUCCUACGCAUUUUAAGCCUAAGUAUUUCAGAUAAUCCUAUUUCUUCUAGCAGGAAGCAGUUUGCAAUUUCUAUUUCAAAUAAUCCUAUCCUUUUUUCAAAUUGGAAAAACUACAUAAUUAAACGGCAAUAGUAUUCUUCGAUUACAUCACAUAUUGAUCAUUUCAUCAUAGUAAAAUCAAAACAUUUAAGAAGUUUUGAGUUCAUAUUAGCUUUGUUCAUAUAAGAAGUUUGAAAUACCUAAUUCUUCAUACUCAAUCAAAACAUACAAAUCUACCA
Molecule: long non-coding RNA, 567 nt
Filed under: Trifolium pratense (red clover)
Lineage: Eukaryota; Viridiplantae; Streptophyta; Magnoliopsida; Fabales; Fabaceae
Description: long non-coding RNA (TPRA_LNC010636)
Source: RNAcentral